This 636-nucleotide long non-coding RNA is filed under the name Calidris pugnax (ruff). RNAcentral's name for it is "lncRNA (ENSCPUG00000006756.1)". The record is from RNAcentral. Lineage: Eukaryota; Metazoa; Chordata; Aves; Charadriiformes; Scolopacidae.
AUGGCGGGGCGGUGGCGAGCGGCGCUGGCGCUGCUGGUGGCCCUGGGGCUGGGGACAGGGACGGGGCCGUGGCCACCCGGGGCAUUGCAGCCUGAUUUUGGGAAUGCGACGUCUCUGGAGGUGAUGGUGCAUGAUCCAUCCUCGACUCCUGAGAUUUCAGAUAUGGACUUUGAUGUUGAUGCUCUCUUCAAUGAAUCUCAGACAACUCCUUCGACAACAACAGCUAAAAAGAAGGACGUCCUGACGUGCUUCGUGGACAUCCUGAAGCACGUAGCUGAAUUUGACCCCACGGGGGAGACCCCCUUUCAGCUUUCAGCCAUCACGCCCCCCAUCAACGAGACCAAGGAAACUCUUUUGUCAAAACUCUGCGGGACGUCUGCUGAAAGUAUAGAAAACCUAGAAGACCUCCUAAUGACAUUUGAACCUACACCAUCUACAACACCUACACCACCAGCAGUCCUGACAGCCCAAACUGGCCCAGAUCUUUCUGUUUCAUGCGUUUAUACGUCUAUUCGGCUGAUGAAAGCGCUGAAAGAACUAGCUGAAAUACUUGAAACCGCGGCUACGAAAAAGAAAAACAAGGCUCUCGGGCUGGGAUUGCUUAAACCUUUAAAAGGGCGCAGUCAUUUGGGGUAA